GCUCAGAGAGGGGUCAAUGUCCUAUCAGCUAGUUGGUAGGGUAAAGGCCUACCAAGGCGAAGACGGGUAGCCGGCCUGAGAGGGUGGUCGGCCACAUUGGGACUGAGACACUGCCCAGACUCCUACGGGAGGCUGCAGUCGAGAAUCUUUCGCAAUGCCCGAAAGGGUGACGAAGCGACGCCGCGUGUGGGAAGAAGGCCUUCGGGUUGUAAACCACUGUCGGGAGUUAAGAAGUGUAAGGGUGUUAAGAGCAUCCUUGCUUGACGUUAGCUCCGGAGGAAGCCACGGCUAACUCUGUGCCAGCAGCCGCGGUAAUACAGAGGUGGCAAGCGUUGUUCGGAAUUAUUGGGCGUAAAGAGCACGUAGGCGGCCCUGCAAGUCAGCUGUGAAAUCCUUCUGCUCAACGGAAGAACGGCAGUUGAUACUACAGGGCUCGAGUGCGGGAGGG
This 448-nucleotide ribosomal RNA is filed under the name uncultured Planctomycetota bacterium. Its description in RNAcentral is "bacterial SSU rRNA". It matches the Rfam family "Bacterial small subunit ribosomal RNA", at positions 217 to 656 of the family's 1533-position model. Lineage: Bacteria; Pseudomonadati; Planctomycetota. The record is from RNAcentral.